AGCGCACACGGUGGAUGCCUUGGCGGUCAGAGGCGAUGAAGGACGUGGCAGCCUGCGAAAAGUAUCGGGGAGCUGGCAACAAGCUUUGAUCCGGUAAUGUCCGAAUGGGGAAACCCACCCGCUUGCGGGUAUCCUGCAGUGAAUACAUAGCUGCUGGAAGCGAACCUGGUGAACUGAAAUAUCUAAGUAACCAGAGGAAAAGAAAUCAACCGAGAUUCCGUAAGUAGCGACGAGCGAACGCGGACUAGCCCUUAAGCUGGAUUGGUUCUAGGAAAACGCUCUGGAAAGAGCGGCCAUAGAAGGUGAUAGCCCUGUAUCUGAAAGGGCCAUUCCAGUGAAGACGAGUAGGGCGGGGCACGUGAAACCCUGUCUGAACAUGGGGGGACCAUCCUCCAAGGCUAAAUACUACUGACCGACCGAUAGUGAACCAGUACCGUGAGGGAAAGGCGAAAAGAACCCCGGAGAGGGGAGUGAAAUAGAACCUGAAACCGUGUGCGUACAAGCAGUAGGAGCUCCGCAAGGAGUGACUGCGUACCUUUUGUAUAAUGGGUCAGCGACUUACUGUUCGUGGCAAGCUUAACCGUAUAGGGGAGGCGAAGGGAAACCGAGUCUGAUAAGGGCGCAUAGUCGCGGGCAGUAGACCCGAAACCGGGUGAUCUAGUCAUGCCCAGGGUGAAGGUGCGGUAACACGCACUGGAGGCCCGAACCCACUCCCGUUGCAAAGGUAGGGGAUGAGGUGUGAUUAGGAGUGAAAAGCUAAUCGAACCCGGAGAUAGCUGGUUCUCCUCGAAAGCUAUUUAGGUAGCGCCUCAUAUGUAUCCUCUCGGGGGUAGAGCACUGUUAUGGCUAGGGGGUCAUCGCGACUUACCAAACCAUUGCAAACUCCGAAUACCGAGACGGACUGUAUGGGAGACACACGGCGGGUGCUAACGUCCGUCGUGAAAAGGGAAACAACCCAGACCCACAGCUAAGGUCCCAAAUUCACUGCUAAGUGGAAAACCAUGUGGAAAGGCACAGACAGCCAGGAGGUUGGCUUAGAAGCAGCCACCCUUUAAAGAAAGCGUAAUAGCUCACUGGUCGAGUCGGUCUGCGGGGAAGAUUUAACGGGGCUAAGCAGUGAACCGAAGCUUGGGGUGCAUAACUUUGUUAUGCGCGGUAGAGGAGCGUUCCGUAAGCCGUUGAAGGUGGAUUGAGAAGUCUGCUGGAGGUAUCGGAAGUGCGAAUGCUGACAUGAGUAACGAUAAUGCGGGUGAAAAACCCGCACGCCGAAAGCCCAAGGUUUCCUUGCGCAACGUUAAUCGGCGCAGGGUGAGUCGGCCCCUAAGGCGAGGACGAAAGUCGUAGUCGAUGGGAAGCAGGUUAAUAUUCCUGCACCUCGCGUAAGUGCGAUGGAGGGACGGAGAAGGUUAGGUGUACCAGGCGUUGGUUGUCCUGGGGAAAGGCGGUAGGUUUGGAUCUUUGGCAAAUCCGGGAUCCUUUAAGACCGAGCACCGAGACGAGCCUUUAUGGCGAAGUCACUGAUACCACGCUUCCAGGAAAAGCUCCUAAGCUUCAGCUUACGCAGACCGUACCGUAAACCGACACAGGUGGGUAGGAUGAGAAUUCUCAGGCGCUUGAGAGAACUCGGGUGAAGGAACUAGGCAACAUGGCACCGUAACUUCGGGAGAAGGUGCACCCUUUUUGGUGGCUCGUGCGAGCUAUAGCUGAAGAGGGUCGCAGUAACCAGGCCGCUGCGACUGUUUAUCAAAAACACAGCACUCUGCAAACACGAAAGUGGACGUAUAGGGUGUGACGCCUGCCCGGUGCUGGAAGGUUAAUUGAUGGGGUCAGCCGCAAGGCGAAGCUCUUGAUCGAAGCCCCAGUAAACGGCGGCCGUAACUAUAACGGUCCUAAGGUAGCGAAAUUCCUUGUCGGGUAAGUUCCGACCUGCACGAAUGGCGUAACGACAGCGGCGCUGUCUCCACCCGAGACUCAGUGAAAUUGAAAUCGCUGUGAAGAUGCAGCGUUCCCGUGGCAAGACGGAAAGACCCCGUGAACCUUUACUAUAGCUUUACACUGAACGUUGAGUUCGUCUGUGUAGGAUAGGUGGGAGGCUAUGAAACCAUGGCGCUAGCUGUGGUGGAGCCAUCCUUGAAAUACCACCCUGUCGUGCUUGACGUUCUAACCUGGGCCCAUUAUCUGGGUCGGGGACCGUGUAUGGUGGGUAGUUUGACUGGGGCGGUCUCCUCCUAAAGAGUAACGGAGGAGCUCGAAGGUACGCUCAGCGCGGUCGGACAUCGCGCACUGUGUGCAAAGGCAUAAGCGUGCUUGACUGCAAGAUCGACGGAUCAAGCAGGUAGGAAACUAGGACUUAGUGAUCCGGUGGUUCUGUAUGGAAGGGCCAUCGCUCAACGGAUAAAAGGUACUCCGGGGAUAACAGGCUGAUACCGCCCAAGAGUUCAUAUCGACGGCGGUGUUUGGCACCUCGAUGUCGGCUCAUCACAUCCUGGGGCUGUAGUCGGUCCCAAGGGUAUGGCUGUUCGCCAUUUAAAGUGGUACGCGAGCUGGGUUCAGAACGUCGUGAGACAGUUCGGUCCCUAUCUGCCAUGGGCGUUGGAGAUUUGAGAGGGGCUGCUCCUAGUACGAGAGGACCGGAGUGGACGAACCUCUGGUGUUCCGGUUGUCACGCCAGUGGCAUUGCCGGGUAGCUAUGUUCGGAAGCGAUAACCGCUGAAAGCAUCUAAGCGGGAAGCGCGCCUCAAGAUGAGAUCUCCCGGGGCACAAGCCCCCUGAAGGAACCAUGUAGACUACGUGGUUGA
RNAcentral lists this ribosomal RNA (2798 nucleotides) under Stenotrophomonas maltophilia. RNAcentral's name for it is "bacterial LSU rRNA". It matches the Rfam family "Bacterial large subunit ribosomal RNA". Lineage: Bacteria; Pseudomonadati; Pseudomonadota; Gammaproteobacteria; Lysobacterales; Lysobacteraceae. The record is from RNAcentral.